RNAcentral lists this ribosomal RNA (905 nucleotides) under uncultured bacterium. RNAcentral's name for it is "bacterial SSU rRNA". It matches the Rfam family "Bacterial small subunit ribosomal RNA", at positions 51 to 951 of the family's 1533-position model. The record is from RNAcentral.
ACACAUGCAAGUCGAGGGGCAGCGCGAGGUAGCAAUACUUUGGCGGCGACCGGCGCACGGGUGCGUAACACGUAUGUAACUUACCUCUUACAAUCGGAUAACACGGUGAAAGUCGUGCUAAUACGGUAUAGUUUCGCAAGCUCGCAUGGGCAUGCGAAUAAAGAUUCAUCGGUAAGAGAUAGACAUGCGGUCCAUUAGAUAGUUGGUGAGGUAACGGCUCACCAAGUCGACGAUGGAUAGGGGGACUGAGAGGUUGACCCCCCACACUGGUACUGAGACACGGACCAGACUCCUACGGGAGGCAGCAGUGAGGAAUAUUGGUCAAUGGGCGAGAGCCUGAACCAGCCAAGUCGCGUGAAGGAAGACGGUUCAUAAGGAUUGUAAACUUCUUUUGCAGAGGAGUAACGGUAGGCACGUGUGCCUAUGUGAACGUACUCUGCGAAUAAGUAUCGGCUAACUCCGUGCCAGCAGCCGCGGUAAUACGGAGGAUACGAGCGUUAUCCGGAAUUAUUGGGUUUAAAGGGUGCGUAGGUGGCUAUUUAAGUCAGGGGUGAAAAGCAUGAGCUCAACUCAUGUCUUGCCUUUGAAACUGGACAGCUAGAGAAAAGACGAGGUAUGUGGAAUGUGUGGUGUAGCGGUGAAAUGCAUAGAUAUCACACAGAACUCCGAUUGCGCAGGCAGCGUACCAGACUUCUUCUGACACUGAAGCACGAAAGCGUGGGGAUCAAACAGGAUUAGAUACCCUGGUAGUCCACGCAGUAAACGAUGAAUACUAGUUUUUUGCGAUAUACAGUAAGAGACUAAGCGAAAGCGAUAAGUAUUCCACCUGGGGAGUACGCCGGCAACGGUGAAACUCAAAGGAAUUGACGGGGGCCCGCACAAGCGGAGGGACAUGUGGUUUAAUU